This 343-nucleotide ribosomal RNA is filed under the name uncultured Streptococcus sp. RNAcentral's name for it is "bacterial SSU rRNA". It matches the Rfam family "Bacterial small subunit ribosomal RNA", at positions 356 to 691 of the family's 1533-position model. The record is from RNAcentral. Lineage: Bacteria; Bacillati; Bacillota; Bacilli; Lactobacillales; Streptococcaceae.
AGGGAAUCUUCGGCAAUGGACGGAAGUCUGACCGAGCAACGCCGCGUGAGUGAAGAAGGUUUUCGGAUCGUAAAGCUCUGUUGUAAGAGAAGAACGAGUGUGAGAGUGGAAAGUUCACACUGUGACGGUAUCUUACCAGAAAGGGACGGCUAACUACGUGCCAGCAGCCGCGGUAAUACGUAGGUCCCGAGCGUUGUCCGGAUUUAUUGGGCGUAAAGCGAGCGCAGGCGGUUAGAUAAGUCUGAAGUUAAAGGCUGUGGCUUAACCAUAGUACGCUUUGGAAACUGUUUAACUUGAGUGCAAGAGGGGAGAGUGGAAUUCCGUCCAUUGCCGAAGAUUCCCU